UGUCCGAGGAUUUAGCAUGC
Molecule: non-coding RNA, 20 nt
Filed under: Mus musculus (house mouse)
Lineage: Eukaryota; Metazoa; Chordata; Mammalia; Rodentia; Muridae
Source: RNAcentral